Long non-coding RNA from Vidua chalybeata, 673 nucleotides. RefSeq lists it as uncharacterized. The transcript is spliced from 12 exons. The record is from RefSeq and is a predicted model, not a curated record. NCBI's taxonomy places the organism in Eukaryota, Metazoa, Chordata, Aves, Passeriformes, Viduidae.
UGCUAUAUAAGGCGCGGGGGCGGGCCCUUCUUCCUUUUCCGCUGCCGCGGCCAUGCGGGCCCGGUGUCCCUCGGGCGGCCCCGCCGAUGAAUAUAUAUCAGCUACACUCCUUCUUCCUGUGGCUUCAGUGCAGGUCUGCCCCCAAAUGUGGAGACCUAAAGCUACUUCUUCCCAAGGAUUUGAAUCCUGCACUUCAGAGAGAUGCAGAAGGAGCAUCAUCACCUGGCACUGGGAGAUUAAACUAUAAGCUGUUUCAAGGCUGCCCUCAACAGAGGAGCCCCAUGCCUCUUGUGUGAGAAACCAUUUCACCUGUUACUGAUGUUGAUGAAGACAAGGCCUUUGUAAUUAAAGGCUUCCAAAUGUUUCUCAUUGUGAGGUGCGAUGGAGCAGGGAAGUGAUGCACGUGGUAGUGCUGCGAGCAAAAGGUGACACUUGCAUGGAGUUUGAGAAAUAAAAUGGAUGUCUCUGAGGUAAGUGAAGGCACUGUGCUGUCUGCAGCCUCACUGGGUGAAGAGGCAACUCUGGAACUAGCAUAUGAGGAAUUGAGGAGGUGGAAGAUGGCUGAUAAAUGGGUUACACUUGAGUGAACAGCAUUAAAAAAGCCAUGUGUUUUUACCUCACUGGUUAUGUUUGCCUGAUGCUGAUUGGAGUGAAUAAAAAUCUGUAAACUCUA